This 73-nucleotide transfer RNA is filed under the name Thalassobaculum fulvum. Its description in RNAcentral is "tRNA-Phe". Lineage: Bacteria; Pseudomonadati; Pseudomonadota; Alphaproteobacteria; Rhodospirillales; Thalassobaculaceae. The record is from RNAcentral.
ACCGGUCGACCGGCCGGGCCAGCCGCUCGUUGAAGCCGGGCACCGGCUGGUGGAUCGCCGCCAUCGGCCGGCC